UACGUAGGGUGCGAGCGUUGUCCGGAAUUAUUGGGCGUAAAGGGCUCGUAGGCGGUUUGUCGCGUCGGGAGUGAAAUCCACUGGCUUAACUGGUGGCUUGCUUUCGAUACGGGCAGACUGGAGGUAUGCAGGGGGGAACGGAAUUCCUGGUGUAGCGGUGAAAUGCGCAGAUAUCAGGAGGAACACCGGUGGCGAAGGCGGUUCUCUGGGCAUGUCCUGACGCUGAGGAGCGAAAGUGUGGGGAGCGAACAGG
This 253-nucleotide ribosomal RNA is filed under the name uncultured bacterium. RNAcentral describes it as "partial 16S ribosomal RNA". It matches the Rfam family "Bacterial small subunit ribosomal RNA", at positions 524 to 776 of the family's 1533-position model. The record is from RNAcentral.